GACGAACGCUGGCGGCGUGCUUAACACAUGCAAGUCGAACGGAAAGGCCCUGCUUUUGUGGGGUGCUCGAGUGGCGAACGGGUGAGUAACACGUAAGUAACCUGCCCUUGACUUUGGGAUAACUUCAGGAAACUGGGUCUAAUACCGGAUAGGAGCUCCUGCUGCAGGGUGGGGGUGGGAAAGUUUCGGCGGUUGGGGAUGGACUCGCGGCUUAUCAGCUUGUUGGUGGGGUAGUGGCUUACCAAGGCUUUGACGGGUAGCCGGCCUGCGAGGGUGACCGGCCACAUUGGGACUGAGAUACGGCCCAGACUCGUACGGGAGGCAGCAGUGGGGAAUAGUGCACAAGGGGCGGAAGGCUGAUGCAGCAACGCCGCGUGCGGGAUGACGGCAUUCGGGUUGUAAACCGCCUUCGCCUGUGACGAAGUGAGAGUGACGGUAAUGGGUAAAGAAGCACCGGCUAACUACGUG
This 468-nucleotide ribosomal RNA is filed under the name uncultured bacterium. RNAcentral describes it as "partial 16S ribosomal RNA". It matches the Rfam family "Bacterial small subunit ribosomal RNA", at positions 28 to 507 of the family's 1533-position model. The record is from RNAcentral.